GAGUUUUGAUCAUGGCUCAGGAUGAACGCUAGCUACAGGCUUUAACACAUGCAAGUCGAGGGGCAUCAGUUUUGGUUUGCUUUGCAAACCAAAGCUGGCGACCGGCGCACGGGUGAGUAACACGUAUCCAACCUGCCUCAUACGUCGGGGAUAGCCUUUCGAAAGAAAGAUUAAUAUCCGAUAGCAUAUAUUUCCCGCAUGGGUUUUAUAUUAAAGAAAUUCGGUAUGAGAUGGGGAUGCGUUCCAUUAGUUUGUUGGCGGGGUAACGGCCCACCAAGACUACGAUGGAUAGGGGUUCUGAGAGGAAGGUCCCCCACAUUGGAACUGAGACACGGUCCAAACUCCUACGGGAGGCAGCA
Molecule: ribosomal RNA, 359 nt
Filed under: uncultured bacterium
Lineage: Bacteria
Description: bacterial SSU rRNA
Rfam family: Bacterial small subunit ribosomal RNA
Source: RNAcentral